GGGAAUUUAGCUCAGUGGCACAAGCAUUUGCCUGGCAAGCACAGGCUCCUGAGUUCAACCUCUGGUUUCCCC
RNAcentral lists this transfer RNA (72 nucleotides) under Cavia porcellus (domestic guinea pig). It matches the Rfam family "tRNA". From Rfam's summary of the family: Transfer RNA (tRNA) molecules are approximately 80 nucleotides in length. Their secondary structure includes four short double-helical elements and three loops (D, anti-codon, and T loops). Lineage: Eukaryota; Metazoa; Chordata; Mammalia; Rodentia; Caviidae. The record is from Rfam by way of RNAcentral.